AGGGUACAGCUCAGUGUUAGAGCAUGUGCUUAGCAUGCACGAGGUCCUGGGUUCAAUCCCCAGUACCUCUA
Molecule: transfer RNA, 71 nt
Filed under: Camelus bactrianus (Bactrian camel)
Lineage: Eukaryota; Metazoa; Chordata; Mammalia; Artiodactyla; Camelidae
Also listed under: 1 other name
Rfam family: tRNA
About the family: Transfer RNA (tRNA) molecules are approximately 80 nucleotides in length. Their secondary structure includes four short double-helical elements and three loops (D, anti-codon, and T loops).
Source: Rfam by way of RNAcentral